RNAcentral lists this ribosomal RNA (466 nucleotides) under uncultured bacterium. RNAcentral's name for it is "partial 16S ribosomal RNA". It matches the Rfam family "Bacterial small subunit ribosomal RNA", at positions 30 to 507 of the family's 1533-position model. The record is from RNAcentral.
CGAACGCUGGCGGCGUGCUUAACACAUGCAAGUCGACCGGAAAGGCCCUGCUUUUGUGGGGUGCUCGAGUGGCGAACGGGUGAGUAACACGUGAGUAACCUGCCCUUGACUUUGGGAUAACUUCAGGAAACUGGGGCUAAUACCGGAUAGGAGCUCCUGCUGCAUGGUGGGGGUUGGAAAGUUUCGGCGGUUGGGGAUGGACUCGCGGCUUAUCAGCUUGUUGGUGGGGUAGUGGCUUACCAAGGCUUUGACGGGUAGCCGGCCUGAGAGGGUGACCGGCCACAUUGGGACUGAGAUACGGCCCAGACUCCUACGGGAGGCAGCAGUGGGGAAUAUUGCACAAUGGGCGGAAGCCUGAUGCAGCAACGCCGCGUGCGGGAUGACGGCCUUCGGGUUGUAAACCGCUUUCGCCUGUGACGAAGCGUGAGUGACGGUAAUGGGUAAAGAAGCACCGACUAACUACGUG